GGAUGGGGGUUCAACCCCUGGCCUCAUUCAGUGAGUUGAGGAUCUGGCACUGCCACACGCUGUGGCACAGGUUGCAGAUGCGGCUCAGAUCUGAUGUUGCCGUGGCUGUGUGUGGAUUCAACCCCUGGCCCAGCAACUUCUACAUGCAGCCACGGGUAUGGUCUUAAAAAAAUUAAAAAUAGAAUGACCAUAGUUCUAUUCCUGGCAUAUAUCUGGACAAAAUUAUAAUUUAAAGAGAAUACAUGCACCUGUCUUCAUAGCAGCACUAUUCACAAUAGCCAAGACAUGGAAACAACCUAAAUGUCCAUUGACAGAUGAAUGGAUAAAGAAGAUGUGGUACAUAUAUGCAAUGGGAUAUUUUAUAAAAAAGUACAAGAUAAUGACAUCUGCUGCAACAUGGAUGCAGUUAGAGAUUCUUAUACUAAGUAAAAUAAGUCGGAAAGACAAAUACCAACUGAAUACCAUAUAUGUUGAAUCUACAGUAUGACACAAAUGAGCCCAUCUGUGAAACAGAGACAGAAUCCCAGAUAUAGUGAACCGACUUGUGAUUACCAAGGGGGGGGUGUGUGGGGAGAGAUGGGCUAGGAUUUAGGCAUUAGAAGAUGAAAGCUAUUGUACAUAGAGUGGAUAAACAACAAGGCCCUACUGUACAGUACUGGUAACUAUAGUCAAUAUUCUGAGAUAAACCACAGCAGAAAAGAAUAUUAAAAAGUAUGGAUGCAUAACUUAAUCACUUUGCUGUACAGCAGAAACUGAUACAAUAUUGCAAAUCAACUAUACUUAAUAAAUAAAUAGAGUUCAUGGUUGUUAUGCUAAUUAAGGAUUGAAAACCUAGAUAUGACUUAAAUGAGUUCAUUGGUUUGAACACUGGUAAUUAAAACAAAUUCCAUUGCUCAUUGUUCAGGAAAGCCUUCAUUUAAUUCAAGUAAAGUUCUGGUAUCCAAGAGUUUCUCAAAGUUCAUUGUCUUUUAUCAGAUUCAGGUGAUUUGAACCUGUCGUAGUGAAACAUAACAUUCAGUUUGUAUAGCUCUAGGUAAAUGCUGCUAUAAGUGGAAAAUUUUCCUAUUUUCUACAUCUUUUUCAUAUCUAACGUUCAGCACUGAGGCAGCAGACAUGACACUACACAUAUUAUUCCCAGGGUUAAAUUUUUCUGCUACGUCUGUGGCAAAACAAAUGCAUUUCUUCCCUAAAAACAUAAAUUCAAUUUGGGAGUGGGGAUAAAGUGAAUAAAAACUGUUUAUUUAUUCGUUCACCCUUUAACACGAAGCAUGUACAGUGGAUGUUAGAUACAACGCUUUGUACCUAUUUUUUGACUAGCUGGAAUUUCCUCUUAUUGCUCAGUCCUCUAUGUCACCGUCUUCCAUUUGUUACCUCUAAUUACUCUACCUUCCACUUGGUGAUUUCGUCCUUGCAUUACUUCCUGAACACACAUGUCUAAUACAUUUGUGUAGUGAGAGUCUUUCAAGAAGCCCAUUCAUGUUAUCUGGGGAAAGAGAACAUGUUUUAUUUAUUUACUUUAUUUUUUGUUUGUUCUUUAAUUUUUUUGUAGUAUUCAGUAAGUCAGAAAGAGAAAGACAAAUACCAUAUGAUAUCGCUUAUAUCUGGAAUCUAACAUACGGCACAAAUGAACCUUUCCCCAGAAAAGAAAAUCAUGGACCUGAAGAAUAGACUUGUGGUUGCCAAGGGGGAGGGGGAGGAAGUGGGAUGGAUUGGGAGCUUGGGGUUAAUAGAUGCAAACCAUUGCUUUUGGAAUGGAUGAGCAAUGAGAUCCUGCUGUGCAGCACUGAGAACUAUGUCUAGUCACUGAUGAGAGAACAUCUUUCAUUUAAUACACGUAUCUAGGGGAAAGUAUGUCUAGCAGGAAGGUUAACCUCUUCCAACCCAUGGAGGCCACUGGUUAUCAACAUCUCUUAACAAUGAGAGGUUCUUUCACUCUUUUAUUCAUUCAACAGUUCUGAGAAAUAAAUGUCAGAUACUCUGUUAAAUAUCAGGAAUGUUCACAUUAAUUCACAUUCCUUUCAGGCUCUGCAAUAAGAAAACUAUAAAGCAAAGUUUUAUGCCAAAUUUCUUAUUUGCUUCAUUUGUUCUCCAGAACUUAGACGCAAGGCUCCUCAGGCCAGAUUCUCAGGACCAUUGCCUCUUCCCACUGGAAUUUGUUACCUACCCAAGGGUUAAGUUGGAGCAGUUCUAAGUAUGCUAGUGGACAUAGCGAUAGCCAACAACAUUUAUAUUUUUAAGCAAUACAUUAGACCACAUUCUACUAAUCAGACAUAAGUGUGGAUACAUCUUAUCCUUGUGGGUGAGCUUCUGCCUUGAGGACCAGUAAAAUAUCACUCCUUGUCACUCAAGUUUUGAUCCAUAGACCUGCAACAUGAGCAGAACCUCGGAUUGUAUUAGAAAUGCAGAAUCUAACGUGAUCCUCAGACCUACUGAAUCGCAAUAUGCAUUUUCACAAAAUCCCCAAGUGAUUUGUAUGUACAUGUAAAUGUAAGAAGCUGCAGUAAAUCACUUUGACUUUUUGAGCUCUUCCUUGUAAGUGAUUAAAGCUCUUUCUUCUACAUCCUUAUGUUAUCAAAUUCAGCAAAAACAGAGAGAGAGGAAAAAGAAAGAAAUACAACUUUGAGUCCAUAGAGGCUGAUACUAGACUUUGUUAGACACUGUUGAUCAAUCUAGGGUUCUAAUGGAAUGGUGGCAAAGAUAAGUGGAAAAAUCCUUUAAAAGUUUUGCCACCUGUUGACAUUAUUGAAAAUACCUCCAAAGCAAUUUGAAAUCCUCAUACAAGAAUAAUGUAGCAUGUCAGUUAGGAGCCUUUAUGAACACUUUAACUAAUUGAUGUUCACCCCUCUAGGCAUCAGAUGCAAUUACUGUGCUACUUGGGGUACAAUUUAACUUGGAGUCAACGUAUUGAAUGCAGCAAGAAUCACAAACAGUAAAGUCAUGGAGAAGUUCCCUUAGAGGGAGAGCAUUUUUCAGUUUUGGAGCACACAGGACACUGGGCCACUGACAUGAGCCCUGAAUCAUACUGCUGAUCAAUUGCAAAGAUGAAAUAACAAACAUGAAAUCCUAUAAUACUAUGUGUGUAUGAUGUGUGGGAAAGUAGCUUACUAUGGAAUUAGUACUGAGACCCCACUAAAAAAUUAUUUUUAGAGCUAAGGUCUCACUUGCCACUACUUAACCCCCCCAAAAUAAUUUGGGUCUUAUGUUUUAUCAGCUACAAACUUGGAUGCUGGCUCUUCCUACUACAGUUUGUUAAUUGCUCAGGAUUGAGGUUUAGCAAUUAUAAGGUUGGUGUGAAGAUAGUAUAUAUGCAAUACUUUGUAGACAAAAACAAGUCAGUGAGUCUGACAGCACAUUAUUCAUUAGACUUAGCAAAAAUAUCUUUUUUAUUUUGAAAUUUAACUUAAUUUUUCUGCAAAGUAAGUACAGCCCAAACUGUACAUGUCGGGAAAAUCUAUGUCAUUUACUCUGAAAUUCUCCAGCAGUUCACAUACCCACAAUAAGUUUCCUAUAUGCAUUCAACAGAAAGUCUGUGUUGCUUUUUUUAUACUGUUUCCAGUUGUCUCUAAACAGAAAUAAUAUUAUUUAUGUGACACAUAAAUCACUUCCACCCACAAAUCUCUUUACUUCUGAAUCCUUAGGCAAGUGUGAUUUAAAGUUCUCACAGCUCUUUUUUUAGAAAAGUGAGCAAAAACAAUAUAUAUGUAAUCUUAAAGUCACUGCCUCCAAACUAUAGAAUAAAUUUACCGUGGCACAGCCUACUGAUGUCAUAUGGAGAUGUUUGAAAAUUAUGUAAUCAACUGUUGUUAUGCUUUUAAGAAUAUUCUAUCAGAAUUUCUUUGCUGCUUUAUAUGUACAUAUACGCACAUGUAAAUAUGCGCCUGAAUAGAAAUAUAACAGCUAAAACUUUCUUCUUGGUACCUCUGGGUGGCAUCAUUUGUAUCUAGUGAGCAGAGACUACAGUUUGUCAAACUUAUGGUUCCCAAAGGACACAGGUUGGGGGGUUGGGGAUGCAGUGAGGGUUUGGGAUGGAAAUGCUGUAAAAUUUGGUUGUGAUGAUUGUUGUAAACGUUUAAAUGUAAUAAAAUUCAUUAAGGAAUUUAAAAAAAAGGAAAGUAGAGUCUGUCAGCUUGGAUUUCUGAAUGAUUCCUACACACACUUUACACAUGGACCCUCCCACACACCCGCCACACACUCGUCCCACCUUCACUCCCUGCCACUCAAAAUUUACAUGGGUAAGAAAGAGACGCCAGUGUGCCCAACCACUGAGGUUUUGAAAUUUGCCUGACAGUAUCACUAGCACUACUUUCUCUAGCCAAUGUAGAAUAGGCUUGCACCUGAGAACAAAAAGCAUUUAAAAACCUCAAGAAAGUUGUUCUUAUCAGGUGAUGUUCCCAAUCUUACUCCCUCCCCACCCCGUGCACAUUUGUUAAUCAAGAUAAAGACUGUGAACAAGAAAUGCGGUAUAAAGAAGAGACUGGGGAUGCACAUGUCCUCUUAUACAUAUACAUACAUAUAUAUAAUCACAGGGAAUAUAUAUAUAAUAAUCACAGUUAUAUAUAGUUAUAACUAUAUAUGUAGUUAUAUAUAAUCACAGGGAAGGGAGAUGUAUAAAUUCAAAGAGUUUUGAUCUCAUCCAGCGGUUAGCUAGGGGCAGUCCAUAUGUCUGAAUUUCAAUAAAAAAAAGAGUUUGAUAAUAAGACUCAAUUUAGAAACCAUCCUACGUCAGUAAUACUUGUGUGUUGUUCUCGUUCCUGUCAUCAUCUCUCCAGUCUGGCUAGCUCUUCACCAAACCCACUUCCCCACCACAUGGCAGCAGGACCACCUCCCCAAAUUGAGCUUGCCUUCCAGAGGGUUGCCACUUUACUCUCUGUAUCCUGCUAACGACAUUUGUUUUGAUGAAAGUAAUAUUUCUGUGAGAAAAAUUAAAGUUUGAUAGCUUUUAAUCCUCUAGGAUCUGUCUCUUCUCCUUUGAGACAGUUAUUUUUUUUUCUAUGCCUUUCAAUAUGACAAAAUGGUGAUUCAAACAGUCACUGGGAACCUGCUAAUUUCUGACACUGUAUUUGGCAUUGAGGACAUAUGGAAAUAGGCACAUCUACCUGUAAGAAGCUCUCAGCCUUCCAUAAUCAGCCAGGUACAAAAACUACCAGUACAAUGUGAUGAGUUGCAUAAUAGAGGUUUACAUAUGGUUCUGCGGAAAGCCAGGUAACGAUAAAAAGUUAUUCUGACAGAAUCUCUGCUGAGCCUUUAAAAAUGGGUAAGAACUUAGAAAUCAGAGAAGGGAGGUGAAGUAUAUUCUGGGAAUUUGAAAGAUGGUAAGAAAAGGAAUGGAGACAAAAGGCCAAAGGUAUACCCUCAUCAAUCAAGGGUACAUAUUGAUGGGGGCAGAGAAUUUGAGUUUUCUCUCCAAAAAAGUUUAUGGCAAACAUGUCCAGAGUCUUCUUAAUAAAGCUGUGGAGAAGCAGGGUGCAUGCUACAGCUAUGUGUAUUAGACCUGUUUACAUGGCAAAGUAGAUAUGAGAGACAGGGUAAAGGGUCAAUUAGAAGUUAAUUUCAGAGUUUCUGUCGUGGCUCAGUGAAAACGAAUCUGACUAGCAUCCAUGAGGAUGCAGGUUCCAUCCCUGGACUUGCUUGAUGGGUUAAGGAUCUGGUGUUGCCAUGAGCAGUGGUGUAGGUCAUAGACAUGGCUUGGAUCCUGCAUUGCUGCGGCUGUAGUGUAGGCUGGUGGUUACAGCUCUGAUUCGACCCCUAGCCUAGGAACCUCCAUAUGCCACAUGUGUGGCCCUAAAAAGAUUAAAAAAAAAAAGUUGACUUCAAGGAGUUCUUGUGGUGCAGCGGGUUAACGAUUCAGCGUUGUCACUGAGUGGAUUGGGCCGCUGCUGUGGCAUGGGUGCCAUCCCUGGCCCAGGAUGUUCCACAUGCCAUGGGUGUGGUUGAGAAAAAUAAAAGAAGAAGAAGUUGACUUCAACAAUCUACAGAGUGGUAAUAAUGGCACAGUCCAUGGUGGUAGCAGCAGUGGGGUCAGAAGGGGUGUAUAAAGAGUAUUUAUGACAUGGAAUGGACAGGAUAUGUCCAUAUCAGAGUCAAAGAUGACCAGGAAAUUUCUACAGAAUGAGAACAUUGGAGAAUCACUAGCAAAGAGUGGAUAAAGCUAUGGGAAUUGACAAGCUUUCUCUGAGCAGUAUGAAGAGUGAAAAAAAAGACAAACAAGAUGCUUACCAGGUAGUUCAGAGUGACAGGAACAAAAGCUUUAGUACUCAAUGUCACUGAAAUUAAGUGAAAAUAAAAGUCUAUAAAGAAAAGGAAAGGAGAGACCGCACUGUCUCAAAUGAUGUCAAGAGAACAGUAUGAAUCUAAGGUAAGUUUCACUUUUUACGCAUGCUACAGAUGUGACUCUACAUUAUCCAAGGGGAUGUAAACUAACGUAUUUUGAAGGGACUAGAUUUCCUUUAUAUACAGAUAUACCUCACAGUUAAUUUUCAGGUAAAAUUACCAGUUUUUGCCUAAUUCAGAAAAAUAUUUACACCAUAAAACUAUAUGUACAAUUGGAGAAGCUUCAUAUACAACAGAUUUAAAAGAUUUAUCUAUGCCUGAGGCCAGAC
RNAcentral lists this long non-coding RNA (6599 nucleotides) under Sus scrofa (pig). Its description in RNAcentral is "lncRNA (ENSSSCG00000059335.1)". The record is from RNAcentral. Lineage: Eukaryota; Metazoa; Chordata; Mammalia; Artiodactyla; Suidae.